This 1331-nucleotide ribosomal RNA is filed under the name Junonia natalica. Its description in RNAcentral is "16S ribosomal RNA". Lineage: Eukaryota; Metazoa; Arthropoda; Insecta; Lepidoptera; Nymphalidae. The record is from RNAcentral.
GGGGAAAAUUAAAAAUUUAAGUUUAAUAAAAAAAAUUUUAAUAUUAAAAAGAAAAAUGGGGGUUUAAGUAUUUUUAAUAGAAAAAAUUAAUAUUUUUAUAGUUAAAUAUUACUGUAAAGGAAUUUAUAAAUAAAUGAAAUAAAAUUAAUAAUAAAGUAAAUUUAAUUUAUUGUAUCUUGUGUAUCAGAGUUUAUUAAAUAAUAAUAAUUUAUUUAAAUAAAUCUCGAAUUUAAAAGAGUUAAUUAAUUAAUAAAGUUAAUGUUGAAUAAUUAUUUUUAAUAAUUAAUUAGAAAUGAAAUGUUAAUCGUUUUUAAAUAUAUCUAGUUUUUUCAGAAAAAAAUUUAAUUUUAAAUUUAAAUAAUUUUAUAAUUAAUUAAUUAAUUAUAAAAAUUUAAAAUUUAAUAUUUUAGGGGAUAAGCUUUAAAUUAAAAAUUUAUAAUUAAAUUAAAAUUAAAAUUAAAAUUUUUAAAAUUUAUAUUGUUUAAAAAUUAUAAUUUACUAUAAAAAAUUUUAUUUAAAAUAAAAUUUAAAAUAAAAAAAUUUAAAUUUUUAUGAAAAAAUAAUUUAUAAUUUAAUAAAAUUAGAAAUAAUGAUAAAAUUAGUAUAAUAUAAUAAAUAAAAUAAAAUUUAUAAAUAAUUAAAUUAAAGGAAUUCGGCAAAAAUUUAUAUUCACUUGUUUAUCAAAAACAUGUCUUUUUGUUAAUAAUUUAAAGUCUAAUCUGCCCACUGAUAUAAAUAUUAAAGGGCUGCAGUAUAUUGACUGUACAAAGGUAGCAUAAUCAUUAGUCUUUUAAUUGAAGACUUGUAUGAAAGAUUUGAUGAAAUAUAAACUGUCUCUGAUUUAUGUUUAGAAAUUAAUUUUUUAGUUAAAAAGCUAAAAUAAAGUUAAAAGACGAGAAGACCCUAUAGAGUUUUAUAUUUUAUUUAUUUAAUUUUAAAUAUAUAAUUAAAUAUAUUAAUUAAAUAAAAUAUUGUAUUGGGGUGAUAGAAAAAUUUAAUAAACUUUUUUUAAAAAUAAACAUAAAUAAAUGAAUAAUUGAUCCAUUUAUAGUGAUUAAAAGAAAAAAUUACCUUAGGGAUAACAGCGUAAUAUUUUUUUUUAGUACAAAUAAAAAAAAAAGUUUGCGACCUCGAUGUUGGAUUAAGAUAAAAUUUAAAUGCAAAAGUUUAAAAUUUUGAUCUGUUCGAUCAUUAAAAUCUUACAUGAUCUGAGUUCAAACCGGUGUAAGCCAGGUUGGUUUCUAUCUUUAAUAAAAAAAAAUAUUUUAGUACGAAAGGAUCAAAUAUUUAAAAUAAUUUUAAUUAAAAUGAAUAUUAAUAAUAUAAUAUAU